This is a long non-coding RNA of Herpailurus yagouaroundi (jaguarundi), 988 nucleotides long. RefSeq lists it as uncharacterized. The record is from RefSeq and is a predicted model, not a curated record. The transcript is spliced from 2 exons. NCBI's taxonomy places the organism in Eukaryota, Metazoa, Chordata, Mammalia, Carnivora, Felidae.
AAAAACUCACCCACCUUGUUCAAUGAGGCACUUCAUGAGGAUCUGGAUCCGAGGUAACCUACUUGGGAUAUCUGUUAAGAGAAGGCCAACGAUGGCUCACGGAUGCACGGAAGGAAACCGUCCUCCGCAUCCCCCGACCCACAACGUGAAGGCAGGUAAGAGAAUUCCUGGGAUCGGCCGGGUUCUGCCACUUGUGGAUACCUCGGUUCGCCGAGAUGGUUAAGCCUCUUUACCUGGUCACCCGAGAACAGGUGCCUUUUGAAUGGACAGAGGAAACUGAGCAGGCUUUCCAGCAAAUUAAACUCGCCCUGUUGUCGGCACCAGCCUUAGGGCUCCCUGAUGUCUCCAAACCCUUUCAUCUCUUCGUAGAUGAAAAUAAAGGGGUAGCCAAAGCAGUGCUGACGCAACUCCUUGGCCCAUGGCCCAGGCCCGUUGCCUAUCUUUCAAAACGACUGGACCCAGUGGCGGCUGGCUGGCCCCCUUGCCUCUGUAUGAUCGCUGCUACAGCUCUAAUGGUAAAGGAUGCUGAUAAGUUAACUAUGGGACAAGAGUUACAUGUUACAACCCCUCAUGCCAUCGAGGGAGUCCUCAAACAACUUCCUGAUCGAUGAAUAAGUAACGCCCGACUGGUUCACUACCAGGGACUAUUAUUAAAUCCUCUCAGAAUCAUUUAUGCUCCCCCCCGAACACUAAACCCUGCCUCCCUAUUACCAGACCCGGACUUGGAUACCCCCCUCCAUGACUGCGCUGAGAUACUGGCACAGGUUCAUGGAGUUCGGGAAGAUUUACAGGAUCACCCGCUACCAGAUGCUGAAGUUACCUGGUUCACUGACGGCAGCAGCUUUGUACAUCAGGGUCAAAGGUAUGCGGGGGCAGCAGUCACAACUGAAACUGAGACUGUUUGGGCAGAGCCUUUGCCAGCUGGCACCUCUGCCCAACGGGCUGAACUUGUGGCCUUAACCAAGGCACUGACUUUGGGAAAAGACAA